This 458-nucleotide ribosomal RNA is filed under the name uncultured bacterium. RNAcentral describes it as "bacterial SSU rRNA". It matches the Rfam family "Bacterial small subunit ribosomal RNA", at positions 29 to 532 of the family's 1533-position model. The record is from RNAcentral.
AACGAACGCUGGCGGCAGGCUUAACACAUGCAAGUCGAGCGCCCCGCAAGGGGAGCGGCAGACGGGUGAGUAACGCGUGGGAACAUACCCUUUGGUUCGGAAUAACUCAGGGAAACUUGAGCUAAUACCGGAUACGUCCGUAAGGAGAAAGAUUUAUCGCCAAAGGAUUGGCCCGCGUCCGAUUAGCUAGUUGGUGAGGUAACGGCUCACCAAGGCUACGAUCGGUAGCUGGUCUGAGAGGAUGAUCAGCCACAUUGGGACUGAGACACGGCCCAAACUCCUACGGGAGGCAGCAGUGGGGAAUAUUGGACAAUGGGCGCAAGCCUGAUCCAGCCAUGCCGCGUGAGUGAUGAAGGCCUUAGGGUUGUAAAGCUCUUUUGUCCGGGAAGAUAAUGACUGUACCGGAAGAAUAAGCCCCGGCUAACUUCGUGCCAGCAGCCGCGGUAAAGUGUGACUGU